RNAcentral lists this ribosomal RNA (319 nucleotides) under uncultured eukaryote. RNAcentral describes it as "partial 18S ribosomal RNA". It matches the Rfam family "Eukaryotic small subunit ribosomal RNA", at positions 1470 to 1796 of the family's 1831-position model. The record is from RNAcentral.
CCCUUAGAUGUUCUGGGCCGCACGCGCGCUACACUGAUGCAUUCAACGAGCACCCGCUGGGCCGAGAGGUCCGGCUAAUCUUUGAACGUGCAUCGUGCUGGGGAUAGAUGAUUGCAAUUAUUCAUCUUCAACGAGGAAUUCCUAGUAAACGCAAGUCAUCAGCUUGCAUUGAUUACGUCCCUGCCCUUUGUACACACCGCCCGUCGCACCUACCGAUUGAAUGGUCCGGUGAAAUCUCGGGACGGCGGCUUGGUCGCUUGCGUCCGACUGCUGAAACUUGAUUAAACCAUAUCAUUUAGAGGAAGGUGAANUCGUAACA